UGUUCUCCCUUUGGCAUUUCUUAUAAACCCAUGGCAAGCUUCCCUCCUACCCUGCCCUCCGCCAAGGACCAGAAAUCUGAGGUAACUUCGUGCCAGGAACUAUUUGCUAGUAAGUCAUUAGCUGCCCUCUGAUUUGAGGUCUGGAGGAAAAGUCCCAAGCACCUUUGAAAGUGUGAAACAUCUUCAACUGAGUGAAGUGCUCCUUAGCCAAAGACUUUGCUUCAGUCCAAAUACAACAAACCAUUGGAAACAGUGAGGGGAUUUCUCAGAUCUUUUUUGAAGGUGGGUUUUGACUGAGGUGAAGGGCAAGGCCCACCCUUAAUGGGGACCUGAAGGUUGGAGGAAGCUAUUGGUUUUCACCACAGCUGCUGAGACAACCACCUGGGGAGCUGUAAGAACUACCCAUUGCUGGGCCACAGAUCAAUCAGAGCCCAACUUCCGUGCUUAGGGCUGGGCACUGGUGUGUUUCUGAAGCCCUGCAGCUCAUUCGAAGGUAUCUCUUCAUAGCAGUAUGAAAAUGUACUAAUACAACAGCAUUCACACCGGGAAGUGACUAGGAACACAGAGCUUCAAGCUUUGUGAGGCACGAGGUACUGGGGCCAUGAUACCAAGUGGCCUCCUGGAAGCCCUGGCAAGGAGUCCCAGGUGAUGUUCAGCAGCAAAAUGAGUGGUGGCCCUGGAAAGGGACCUGAAAACUACACAGCCCUGAUGAUCAGCUUCUGAGGAGACCCCUCUGGGGGAAAAGCCCCCUCCUCUUUCCCAGAGCUGACUGGAAGGUCUGUCCCAUUCCACAAACUGCAUUUGUUACAGGAAGGGACCAAGUGGGGGAAAAAAAAAACA
Rhinopithecus roxellana (golden snub-nosed monkey) is the source of this 840-nucleotide long non-coding RNA. RefSeq lists it as uncharacterized. Lineage: Eukaryota; Metazoa; Chordata; Mammalia; Primates; Cercopithecidae. The record is from RefSeq and is a predicted model, not a curated record. The transcript is spliced from 2 exons.